ACAGUAUUACUAAUAAAAUAAUACAUUCUGUCAAUCAUUCUCUCUUUUUCCCCUUUGUACAGGGUCACCCUGGGCAAUCUGGACCUAGAGGUCUGCCUGGCCUCGAUGGCUGCAAUGGUACCACUGGGAGUCCUGGUGUUUCUGGAUCAGAUGGGUUUCCUGGCCUACCUGGGCUGCCUGGUCGUCCUGGCCCAAAAGGCCUUAAAGGAGAACCUGUGUUUGCUCAAGGCAGUCUUAAAGGAAUGAAGGGAGAAAAUGGUCUUCCUGGAUUGGAUGGAAUUUCUGGCCCAAAAGGUUUUCCAGGUCCAGUAGGCUCUGCAGGCCCUAUAGGAUUACCAGGUUUGCAGGUAAGAGACCUGACAGAACAGUUCAAAAUGAUGGCAGUUUUCCCUCCUUAUCUAUAUUUGUUUCACAACA
RNAcentral lists this long non-coding RNA (417 nucleotides) under Athene cunicularia (burrowing owl). Its description in RNAcentral is "lncRNA (ENSACUG00000005308.1)". Lineage: Eukaryota; Metazoa; Chordata; Aves; Strigiformes; Strigidae. The record is from RNAcentral.